Molecule: ribosomal RNA, 492 nt
Filed under: uncultured bacterium
Lineage: Bacteria
Description: partial 16S ribosomal RNA
Rfam family: Bacterial small subunit ribosomal RNA
Source: RNAcentral
AGUGAACGCUGGCGGUAUGCCUAACACAUGCAAGUCGAACGGCAGCACAGUAAGAGCUUGCUCUUACGGGUGGCGAGUGGCGGACGGGUGAGGAAUACAUCGGAAUCUACUUUUUCGUGGGGGAUAACGUAGGGAAACUUACGCUAAUACAGCAUACGAUCUACGGGUGAAAGCAGGGGAUCUUCGCACCUUGCGCGAUUGAAUGAGCCGAUGUCGGAUUAGCUAGUUGGCGGGGUAAAGGCCCACCAAGGCGACGAUCCGUAGCUGGUCUGAGAGGAUGAUCGGCCACACUGGAACUGAGACACGGUCCAGACUCCUACGGGAGGCAGCAGUGGGGAAUAUUGGGCAAUGGGCGCAAGCCUGAUCCAGCCAUACCGCGUGGGUGAAGAAGGCCUUCGGGUUGUAAAGCCCUUUUGUUGGGAAAGAAAAGCAGCAGGUUAAUACCCCGCUGUUCUGACGGUACCCAAAGAAUAAGCACCGGCUAACUUCGUG